RNAcentral lists this ribosomal RNA (459 nucleotides) under uncultured bacterium. RNAcentral describes it as "partial 16S ribosomal RNA". It matches the Rfam family "Bacterial small subunit ribosomal RNA", at positions 338 to 795 of the family's 1533-position model. The record is from RNAcentral.
CCUACGGGAGGCAGCAGUGAGGAAUAUUGGUCAAUGGGCGGAAGCCUGAACCAGCCAAGUAGCGUGCAGGAUGACGGCCCUACGGGUUGUAAACUGCUUUUAUACGGGAAUAACGCGCCUUACGUGUAGGGCUUUGCAUGUACCGUAUGAAUAAGGACCGGCUAAUUCCGUGCCAGCAGCCGCGGUAAUAGGGAAGGUCCGGGCGUUAUCCGGAUUUAUUGGGUUUAAAGGGAGCGUAGGCGGUCUGUUAAGUCAGCGGUCAAAGCCCGGGGCUCAACCCCGGCCCGCCGUUGAAACUGGGAGUCUCGAGUUGGAGAGAAGUAUGCGGAAUGCGCGGUGUAGCGGUGAAAUGCAUAGAUAUCGCGCAGAACUCCGAUUGCGAAGGCAGCAUGCCGGCUCCACACUGACACUGAUGCUCGAAAGUGUGGGUAUCAAACAGGAUUAGAUACCCCUGUAGUC